GAUGAACGCUGGCGGCGUGCCUAAUACAUGCAAGUCGAGCGAACGGACGAGAAGCUUGCUUCUCUGAUGUUAGCGGCGGACGGGUGAGUAACACGUGGAUAACCUACCUAUAAGACUGGGAUAACUUCGGGAAACCGGAGCUAAUACCGGAUAAUAUUUUGAACCGCAUGGUUCAAAAGUGAAAGACGGUCUUUCUGUCACUUAUAGAUGGAUCCGCGCUGCAUUAGCUAGUUGGUAAGGUAACGGCUUACCAAGGCAACGAUGCAUAGCCGACCUGAGAGGGUGAUCGGCCACACUGGAACUGAGACACGGUCCAGACUCCUACGGGAGGCAGCAGUAGGGAAUAUUCCGCAAUGGGCGAAAGCAUGACGGAGCAAAGCCGCGUGAGUGAUGAAGGUAUUCGGAUCGUAAAACUCUGUUAUUAGGGAAGAACAAAUGUGUAAGUAACUGUGCACAUCUUGACGGUACCUAAUCAGAAAGCCACGGCUAACUACGUG
This 497-nucleotide ribosomal RNA is filed under the name uncultured bacterium. Its description in RNAcentral is "partial 16S ribosomal RNA". It matches the Rfam family "Bacterial small subunit ribosomal RNA", at positions 28 to 507 of the family's 1533-position model. The record is from RNAcentral.